CGAGAACGGACUCCUCCUGGACCGUUUGCGGCGUCGCUUCUCUCAGAUCACAGAGAGGAAAUCAUCAUCAUCAUCAUCAUCAUCAUCAUCAUCAUCACGCGGACUCAGAUGGCCCGAGGCGCUGCGUCGAUGAAAUUGGAUAUUUAAGGCAGUGCAGAAAGCAGUUCACGUUCACUCUCAGCGGGCGCGCGGCUGGAGAGUCAGAGGGGGUAGACGCGCGCUCUGUAACUGACUGACAAAUAAUAUGAGGCUACAGUGUUGUGAACGAGGCUUCAUAUAACGUGACCGGGAAGAGAACAAGGCACGGACUCGAGUCCUCGUUCAACGCGGAGGCUGAGGAGGAGGACGGUGGAUGACCGCGAGCGCUCCCUUCAGCGCGCAUUACCAAUGCGUCAGAAGAGCGCGUGUCUCUGAACUCCAGCUGCAGACAUUUGGCACGGACUUGCUUGACGUUGCUAAUUGGAGCUCAAAACGUUGCAUGUCACUGAAUGCAAAACUGUAUGCAGGUCCAAAAUCUUGAGGGGGAUGAACUGUGCUGUCAGCAUACUGGAAACACUAAACCAGCUUGUAGGAGGCAGAGAGCUCAGUGAGUCUCUCAAAGAAUAUGUAAUGCAACACCAUCUCUGAUUCUGCUGAGACCUGCGAAUGAAGGCUUAGGAGGUGCAGAGGUCCGUGUGAGCCACUCUGAUAAAACUUGCAGUCCUCUUAUAGUCCUGUCACUGCACCCAAAUGUAGAUGUAAAGUGCACACAUUGCUUGGCAAAAUGACAGAUGGAUAGAGAGCAGGGAGUGAAUUGGCACCAUAAUACAUCCCUGUUUUACUUGUCAUAUCAUGCAGAAACAAUUUUAAAAGCCUCUAGAUAGCUGAUUUUUUUUCCCCAUAGUGGUUUUUCUUCCUCAUUUACUCUUAACAAUGAAGGAGAUAUAGUGUAAACAAUUUAUUGAAGCCCUGGCUUUUCAUCCGUAUUGAAAUCAAAAUGUGUUCCUUUGCUCUAUUCAAUCCUGCAAUCUGUCAACAGGACAAGAAGUCAGCAUUAAAGCGUGGAAAGUUAAAGUGUGGAAAGAACAUUUCUUUCAUUGAACAAUUUUGGUACAAAAAAACUUUGUUGCUUUCCAAGAUGAAUUUCUGAAGAAAUAAAAUACAAUAGUGUAACCUUAAUCAGGUUAAGACACUAAAUUUCUACAAUAAAGAGUAGCUAAAUAUAAAAUGUAACAAAAACAUAUCAUUAGAAAAAUAGAAGCAUUAAUAUUUAAUAUAGCCUAAUCAAGUAUGAUGCAUAGCAGUGCGUUCUGGGAAUGUUUUUAAUUUUGUUUUACUACAAAUUGUAUUUACAAACAUACUUUUGAAUAAUAUUUUAAAUGUGAAUUGUAAAAAGCUUCCAAAAAUUUUUUUUUUUUUUUUGCUUUAUAUGGUAAAGUGAAUUACAAUUAUUAAAUGAUCUAAUUUAUACUAUGACUUUUUUUUCUGCUAAAAUAAUGAAAAUUUUUCAAAUAGGAUGCAAAGUGGGAGAGAAAGUUGCGAGGGCGAGAUCAGAAUCUGUCUCAGCUCCGAUUGCAAAGCUUUUAUUUCCACAAUAACAAACAAGUUUACAGCGAUUUUUUUAACUCAUAAGAAAUACCUUUAUCUACAGUAAGAGAUGAUUCAUCCUUUAUUUUUAUCAUGUUCUUUUUUUAAAUAUCAUCCAACUCUAUAAGAGGUUUUUACCUUAAAAAUUGUGCACACAUAACUAUUCACCAAAAUGGUGGCAUUGCCCUGACCUCUGAAACAAAUGGUAUGUAAAGAGGAAAAGAAGUUCUUCUUUAGAUGUGCAUCCCAAGGGACAACAGUGCUACUGUGACAGUGAAGAGAAAACUACAGUGAGUAACAAUCUAGCAGCGCUGUGGAUGUCAUGAAGGGUAGAAUGGGUUUCUGAAAAGAAAAAGCAACACUCGUGAUACUGAUGUUAUUUUCCUUUUUCUCAAGUAGACUCUUCAAAACCACUAGAACAUUUCUGAGGAAGGUAAUAAAUUGUACAGUAUAUGCCACAGCUAUAGUGAACCUAUUGAACCUCAUCAAGAUUGGUUUCAACUAGUCUCAAACCAUGAGAUGCCUUGUCGCAGGUUGCCCAGCAUAAUCAGUUCAUAGCAAAUACAGAUUUCUUCAAAGAGAUAUUAAUAGUCGGCUCUACAAAGAUAGUCAAGUGUAACAUGCUCUUCGAAUACACUUCUUCUCAAAGAUAAACUUUGAUCAUAAUUCAUAACUCCAGUUGAAAAGCAAAGCAAGUUCUGACAAAUCACAGUGUGGUAUUUGACAGCAUUUCUUUGAGUUUCCAUGAUCAAAUUGAUUUAAUAGGGCCCUGUUUACCAUGAUUAUAACAGAAUGUGUCCAAUUUGACCGCCCUGCAAAUUAGUUCCCACCAGGCAGCCCUAUGCUUCCCCUGAAUCUGACUGAAGUACAGUUCCUAUCACUUGACACUGCAGGAUGGCUGAGCCUGGUACAGAAGAAGGAUGUUUGUUGGCCUGCGGAUUGCAGUGGGCUUUUUGAAAACUGGGCUUCCAUUGUUUGGUGCACAGGAAGAACUUGUUGUGGGACCAAGCACAAUGGACCCUCAUACUGGCCCCAAGGUCACUGCCCACAGCUCUAUGUUGGCUUUAUAAUACAGGAAAGGGUCUUUAAAGUGCGUUUCAUUCACAUUGAUAUCGUCCUAAACCCUGCUCUGUGGGAUUUGGCUAUUGUUUUGGUGUGUACAGUACACCAUUGUGAAGGAGGC
Molecule: long non-coding RNA, 2749 nt
Organism: Cyprinus carpio carpio
Lineage: Eukaryota; Metazoa; Chordata; Actinopteri; Cypriniformes; Cyprinidae
Source: Ensembl